Syngnathus acus (greater pipefish) is the source of this 1173-nucleotide long non-coding RNA. RefSeq lists it as uncharacterized. The record is from RefSeq and is a predicted model, not a curated record. Lineage: Eukaryota; Metazoa; Chordata; Actinopteri; Syngnathiformes; Syngnathidae. The transcript has 2 exons.
GCAUUUGCACGAAAUGUCUGUGAGGCAUGUAAAACACAGUGUGAGUCGUCUGGGAAAUCCUUGUGGUUGGAAUGCCAGGGCGGUGAAGUUCUCAACGCCUUGGAAUGGAACAAACAUGGAACCGAAUGACAUGAAACCAGGGUUGAAGCAAAGGAAACAAGGUGGCAAGGAAAAGCGGUGAAGGAGAGCAAUCAAUGGCAUAAGGGAAACUCUGUCGAUAAAGGAUGGAAAGAAAUAAGAGACCACAAGGAGCAACAUCAUUGAGGAACACGUUGCGGAGGAAAAGAGUUGAGGAAUUGAAGAGAAAAAAAAAUCCAGCAUAGGAAACGAUGAUAGAUAAAAUGAAGUUAAGAGGAGGAAACAAGGAAGGAAAAGGAGAUAAAAGGAGUCAAGUGACAGAAACAAGUGCAAAGUAGGAGUCAAGGAAAGAAAGUGUGGCUGAGGAAUUGAGUCGAGGAAAUAGGAAUCGAGGAAAAGGAAAGACCAGGAGAUGACGGGAAGAGUCAAAGGAAGGAAUUCAAGUCAAGGAAAGGAAACAAGACCAAGAGGAGAUGAGGGAAGGAGGCAAGUAAUUAAGGUGUUGCAGAGCUUGCGUGCGUCUUAAAAUAACUCCAAAACCAAAAAUGGAGCCAGUGGCCUCCAGCAAGCAGACCACACCCACACGGCGCAUAUUUAAGCAGCGGGCGUGAAGGUGACAAGGAAGAAACAGAAGAUCAACAUGACUUCCUGUUCCUCCUGCACGGUACUACCAGUGCUUGCUGGACUUCGGCCACCGCGCCGCCGAUGCCGAGUCUUGUACCCACCGUCUCGCUGCAGGCGGUGGACCCCGAGGGAGGACCCAGACCGGGCCCUACGCUGGCUCCGCCUCCUCGCAGCGCUGGUAUUCAUGCAGAUUUUCAGUGAGGACUCGAGUCCAGAUGCGAUGAACACUGAAAGCCGUGAGGGGGACCAGCCCACAACGCUCGAGCACGAUUUGACCCCAGAGCGGCCACGGGGGGUCCGAGGAGUGACCGGCGCUUCGGAGUCACCGGUGGACCGUCUGGUCAGCUGACCCCGUGGAAGGAAACACAAGCUCCGACAUUUCACUUGUUCCAAAACAUUUCUGUCAUGUAACAUAUGUAAAUAUAUCAUGAUCCCGUUUGUACACGUCUAUGCAAUAAAUUAUAGUAUUCG